Molecule: long non-coding RNA, 1498 nt
Organism: Anas platyrhynchos (mallard)
Lineage: Eukaryota; Metazoa; Chordata; Aves; Anseriformes; Anatidae
Source: RefSeq, a predicted model, not a curated record
CAGCAGCAGCAGGAGGUGGAGGAGGAUGAGGAGAGGAGGGGAUGAAGGGGGGCACCCAGGCAUGAAGAUUAUAUCCUGUGUCACUUUUUAGGCUGUGGGACAUCCCUAUGGGAAAGCAGUGCUUUGGAGGCACUGGCAGUAUUUCUCUUCUCUCAUGGGGAUGAAGAGUCAGUCCUGAAAAAUUUUGAGAACCAGAAAACUUCAGGCCUAAUCCAUUGGAGAAAAGACCUUUUCAACUAAAAACCCUGGGAUGUGUCACUGAAGGAAAUGCAGAAGCCAAAUGCUCGGACAAUUUGAAAAGGCACACCAAUUUUUUUUUCCAAGAUGAAACAAAUGCUGCAGCUCCCCUCGCCUGCAGGAAGUUCCGUGGAUGUUUUCCCACCAGCAAUUUCUCUGCUGGCUCGCAUUGGGCCAUGGGCAAGCUGUGGCCAUGGGGCAAAUGGACCACCCUGAGCCCUUACUGGACUCUUUAGUUGUCCCAGGGACAAAUUUAGGCAAAUGUGUUGAGCUGUCUGUGAAAAUACUGCAGGCCUGAGACGGCGGAAAAGAGGAGCUGUAAAAGGACAUCAUCUCGAGGCUGUGUGCUUUGAAGGAGGAGCUCCUAUUGCCCCCUGGCUGAAGUGCUUUUGCUCAAAUUUAAAAAUCAAAUCACAUCUGGAGGAAGCCCAGACCUUGCGAGUUUCCACAGAGGGUGGUGAACCUCUCUCUCUAGAUGUCUGAGAUAAUCUCCUUGAGGAACUCGCCCAAAUUUCCAUCCUGGAACGAGACCCUUCCCUUUUUGCACAAGAAGGGAUGGCACGAGCCACCACCCCGUGAAUUCAGCGAGAGGAGGAGGAGACGGAUGAAGCCCCAGGAGAGGGGAGAGCAGAUAUAUUUCCAGCCUGGAGCUGAACAGCGAUGAAGCAACGAAUGCGGAGAGGUUCAGAGGAAUAACCAGAUGUGCAUGCGAUGGCUGGGGCUGCAGAAGGGAGAGAAGAUUGUUUUGCAGAGUCCAAGUGCAGGAGUCAUCCUGGCUAUGGAUAUGCUCUCCAGGCGGCUGCUGGCUGGCUGUACUGGGCCAUACUGGGCUGUUAGUGGGCAGGGGUUAUGGCCAGCCCACCCCAAGGCUCGUGCCUCUUGCAGGGGGACAGUGACCCUUGCGAGACAAAGCCACAGGUCAUUGUCUUGGCUGCAGGCUUGGAAAAUAAAUGUAACCCUGGAGAGAAGGUUAAGGUAGAGUCAGCAGAAGAAAAAUGGCCCAAGCUGUUGAAAGCCCCUUUCUCUCUGGAGGGAUGGGGAAGGGGAAAGCAAGGUUGUGGUUAGUUUUUUGUAAAAGGCUUGUAGGGACUGCUUCUAGAAAGCAGAAGAAGCUGCUUGAGCGCUGCUGAGUCCUCAGUUCCCUUCAUUAAGGGGAGAAGGCAGCACAAUGAAUUCGCCAUUAAAAUAGUAAUAAUAAAAAGCCAUAGCCCCUAAACUAUUCUGUUUAAAAAUAAUAAUAAAAAUUAAGAGGUAGUUGCCA